This 253-nucleotide ribosomal RNA is filed under the name uncultured bacterium. RNAcentral describes it as "partial 16S ribosomal RNA". It matches the Rfam family "Bacterial small subunit ribosomal RNA", at positions 524 to 776 of the family's 1533-position model. The record is from RNAcentral.
GACGAACCGUCCAAACGUUAUUCGGACUCACAGGGCUUAAAGGGUGCGUCGGCGGAGAGGCAAGUCAGAGGUGAAAGCCCACGGCUCAACCGUGGAAGUGCCCCUGAAACGGCCUCUCUCGAGGGAGAUAGGGGCGUGCGGAACUCAGAGUGGAGCGGUGAAAUGCGUAGAUAUUCUGAGGAACACCGGUGGCGAAAGCGGCACGCUGGGUCUUUGCUGGCGCUGAGGCACGAAAGCUAGGGGAGCAAACGGG